UUGUUUGAUCUUUGGAUUAGACGUUUACUGAGGUUGGGACCCAAUCGAUGAUAGUAAAUGAUGUUCAACAACCUGUGUGGGUGCUGAUACACUCAAGAUAGAGCCCCAAUUUUGUCCUGAUCUCGGACCGUUAGCGUACUCAGCCAUGCGGAUGAUUACUAAAAUCUUCUACCAACUCUCAUAAUGUGAACAUGACCUAUGGCUAGCAUCCAUGACUAAUAACCCUGAUUCAUAGGCAUGACCUACUACUGAUGUCUAUGACUAACAACUCUAAAUCAUAGAUUAGUGGACGGAUUUUAGUGACCUAUUAGGUCAUAACCUCCUAGGCCCCUAACAAUCUACCAAAUUCAAGUAUAACAGCCUACGAUUCUAUCUCAAUAUAAAAAGGUAAUAGGGGAAUUCUCAGAUAAGAGGCUUGACUCCAGAGCGAAACCCUACUCAUAUUCUCCUCUUUCCUCCUCUGACUAUUUCUUAAACUCCAAUUAACUUAAGCAUCGAUGGGUUUUCCAUUAGAUACACUCCGGCAUGUAGAUUUUCUUUGCAGAUCUAUCAAUCCUCAUGAGCGGCCUGCACACUUUGGAGCACUAGAUCGAUCUCUAGAUGCAUCCCUAUCAGGGUAUAGCGGUAACAGGAUUAUAAAUUGCAUUGCUCAUAUUUUAUUUUCUAUUAUUAUGUGAAAAAAAAUUUAAAUAUGACCAUUGAUCUUUAUAAAAUCAAUCCACAAUUUUCUCAUGCA
Molecule: long non-coding RNA, 736 nt
Filed under: Elaeis guineensis (African oil palm)
Lineage: Eukaryota; Viridiplantae; Streptophyta; Magnoliopsida; Arecales; Arecaceae
Description: long non-coding RNA (EGUI_LNC028066)
Source: RNAcentral